This is a long non-coding RNA of Mytilus californianus (California mussel), 652 nucleotides long. RefSeq lists it as uncharacterized. The record is from RefSeq and is a predicted model, not a curated record. The transcript is spliced from 5 exons. Lineage: Eukaryota; Metazoa; Mollusca; Bivalvia; Mytilida; Mytilidae.
AUUACAUUUUCUUGUUUGUAGUGACAUGCAUCUUGAUUUAGAUCAGGAAAUGGAGAAACAACGUUGAAGACAAUCAAGCAAAAAAAAAAAAAAGAAAAAAAAAACAGACAGAAACAGAAUAUCAAAUUUAUUCUCUUUUCAAAGCCAACCAAUGGAAGAACAGAAAAACAAAUAUAUUCCCAAUCCCAAUCAGUACCUUUAUCUUCAGAGGAAAUCAAAAUUGAGGAAAGUGCUCUAUACUGAAAUUCCUGACACCGUUGACACUGUUGACCAAACAUAUCUUCUACAAAAAGUUUUACCAGAACAAUGGAAUGUACCUCCACCGGCGGCAAUUUAAAGCAGUUACAGGAAUAAGUCACCAGUUCAACAUAAAAGACAAGCGCAAUUUGAAGAAAGAUUUGAUUGAGGCUGUCAAAUUCACUGGAUCAUGGAUUGUUACUUGUGGAAUAGAAUCUGGAGUUAUUCAGUUUAUUGAAGACGCUGUUAAUGAUCAUAUUACUUCGACAAAAAUCUACAUCCCAAUAGUUGGAAUUUUGCCAAAAAGAGUACUAGAUGAAGUAAAUUGUUUUUGUUUUAUUAAAUGUUUUAACAAAAUAGAAAAAUAUAAACAAUGAUUCAUACAAGUAAAAGAAUAUAAAGAUAUCAGCUCAAA